This 433-nucleotide ribosomal RNA is filed under the name uncultured bacterium. RNAcentral describes it as "partial 16S ribosomal RNA". It matches the Rfam family "Bacterial small subunit ribosomal RNA", at positions 28 to 507 of the family's 1533-position model. The record is from RNAcentral.
GACGAACGCUGGCGGCAUGCCUAACACAUGCAAGUCGAACGAAACCUUCGUGUCUAUGUGCGCACGUGUGCUUAACGCGGGGGAACCUACCCUUAGGUUCGGAAUAACUCCCCGAAAGGUGUGCUAAUACCGCAUAAGGUCUUCCGACCAAAGAUUUAUCGCCUUUGGGUGGGCGCGCGUUGGAUUAGUUGGUUGGUAGUGUAAAAGCCUACCAAGGCGACGAUGCAUAGCUGGUCUGAUAGGAUGCUCAGUCAGAAUGGGACUGCGACACGGACCAGAAUGCGACGGGAGGCAGCAGUGGGGAAUAUUGGACAAUGGGCGAAAGCGUGAUAACGCAAUGCGGGGUGAGUGAUGAAGGGCUUAGGGUUGUACAGUCCUUUUACACGGGAUGAUAAUGACAGUAACGGGAGAAUAAGCUCCGGCUAACUACGUG